This is a long non-coding RNA of Oncorhynchus tshawytscha (Chinook salmon), 652 nucleotides long. Lineage: Eukaryota; Metazoa; Chordata; Actinopteri; Salmoniformes; Salmonidae. The record is from Ensembl.
CUGGUACAGAGUCAAUGUGGAGGCUAUAUACAGGGGUACUGGUACAGAGUCAAUGUGGAGGCUAUAUACAGGGGGUACUGGUACCGAGUCAAUGUGGAGGCUAUAUACAGGGGGUACUGGUACAGAGUCAAUGUGGAGGCUAUAUACAGGGGGUACAGGUACAGAGUCAAUGUGGAGGCUAUAUACAGGGGGUACAGGUACAGAGUCAAUGUGGAGGCUAUAUACAGGGGGUACUGGUACAGAGUCAAUGUGGAGGCUAUAUACAGGGGGUACUGGUACAGAGACAAUGUGGAGGCUAUAUACAAGGGGUACCGGUACAGAGUCAAUGUGGAGGCUAUAUACAGGGGGUACAGGUACAGAGUCAAUGUGGAGACUAUAUACAGGGGGUACAGGUACAGAGACAAUUUGGAGGCUAUAUACAGGGGGUACAGGUACAGAGACAAUGUGGAGGCUAUAUACAGGGGGUACCGGUACAGAGUCAAUGUGGAGGCUAUAUACAGGGGGUACCGGUACAGAGUCAAUGUGGAGGCUAUAUACAGGGGGUACAGGUACAGAGUCAAUGUGGAGGCGACAUACAGGGGGUACUGGUACAGAGUCAAUGUGGAGUCUAUAUACACGGGGUACAGAGUCAAUGUGGAGGCUAUAUACAGGG